This 526-nucleotide ribosomal RNA is filed under the name uncultured bacterium. RNAcentral describes it as "bacterial SSU rRNA". It matches the Rfam family "Bacterial small subunit ribosomal RNA", at positions 777 to 1297 of the family's 1533-position model. The record is from RNAcentral.
AAUAGAUACCCAGGUAGUCCACGCCGUAAACGAUUAGUGCUAAGUGUUAGAGGGUUUCCGCCCUUUAGUGCUGCAGCUAACGCAUUAAGCACUCCGCCUGGGGAGUACGGCCGCAAGGCUGAAAACUCAAAGGAAUUGACGGGGGGCCCGCACAAGCGGUGGAGCAUGUGGUUUAAUUCGAAGCAACGCGAAGAACCUUACCAGGUCUUGACAUCCUCUGCCAACCCUAGAGAUAGGGCGUUCCCCUUCGGGGGGACAGAGUGACAGGUGGUGCAUGGUUGUCGUCAGCUCGUGUCGUGAGAUGUUGGGUUAAGUCCCGCAACGAGCGCAACCCUUGAUCUUAGUUGCCCAGCAUUUAGUUGGGCACUCUAAGGUGACUGCCGGUGACAAACCGGAGGAAGGUGGGGAUGACGUCAAAUCAUCAUGCCCCUUAUGACCUGGGCUACACACGUGCUACAAUGGAUGGUACAAAGAGCUGCGAACCCGCGAGGGUGAGCGAAUCUCAUAAAGCCAUUCUCAGUUCGGA